This 308-nucleotide long non-coding RNA is filed under the name Olea europaea subsp. europaea. Lineage: Eukaryota; Viridiplantae; Streptophyta; Magnoliopsida; Lamiales; Oleaceae. The record is from RNAcentral.
GGAUUACAUAAUUUCAUCUUCAAAAACCUAACUUCGAUGCCUUUAUCUCACAAAUAUUCGUAGAAAUCAACUUCUUCAAUAGAAUUGAUCGAUUUCGAUGGCUUAGUAGUACUUCCGGCAAGUUUUCAAGAAUAACCCAGAGACGCGAAAAAACUAGGGUGGCAUAUGAGAGGAAGUGAUGAGAGACGAAUGAGAGGCAGAGGUGUUCGACGAGUAGAUGAUGAGAGACGAGUGAGAGUGAGAGGCAGAGGCGUUCGAUGAGUGAGAUGAUGAGAGACGAGUGAGAGGCAGUGGCAGAGAAGUGGAAA